AUAUCCAAGUUAUAAACCCUGUGUGUACAAAAAAAAACAGGGAUAACCAUCUGGGACUUACAGGAAAGAUGUUCUCUUCCAAGAGAAAAUUAUCUGAUGCUCUCGCCAUCACAUUUAGAACAUCGAUGGAUUGAUAAAUGUCGGCGAUUGAGUCAGGGGAAUCCGAAUCGACUGUAGAUCUGUUCUUAAGUCCGGAAAAUAUAUUGACGGCUCCCUCCUCGGUAGCCCCAAGUCCCAUCAGGAAGUACUAGAAGCAAAACAAACAACAGCUAUGUGUAAAGAUAGACAGAAACACACCAAUCCUUUCAUUACAUAAAAUGUAGAUAAACAGUCCUUAAUUAAUAAUAACCUUAUGUCUGUGAUCUGAGUAGUUUUGAGAUGUUUGAGUGCAAAUUUGUCACAUCCCAAAUACGCGGAUUUUACUGUAUUUGGAGAACUGUUUUUUGGAGCUUAGAUCAUUUCUUUCAACACACCAAAUUAACACACCGCAUUUGGAAAUUAGCUGGCUAUUAUCUCAGAUGCCUACAUUCAAACAUACAUUAUGUAUAGAUAAACUUUAUAACCCUUUAGUGUUGUACCUAAUGGUAAAAUGACCAAUACACACACUUGAAUCACUAUCAAUCAUAAUGCUGGUGAUAAAGCCAUUCUUUUUGGAUCAUUUGAGUGAUCUUGUUAGCUUGUUUAAUCUCCGACUAGUGAGGUGGUUAUUAAACCAAGCUUGAUUGCUCAUUUUUUGUAGUUUCUGAGCCCUGACGGUCUGCAGGUUUAACGCCAUAGCGUCAAGCCUUUGGAGAAAGACCAUUUUUUCUUGUCAAAUUUUAGAACCAUCACGGAGUCAAAUUAAAAAUGAAAAUAAUCUGUGGACAUUUCUAAGGUCUGUUAAAUAAAGUUGAAUAAAAUGUUAUACUUGAGGCACACUUACAUCUGCAGCAUUUGAAACUUUAUUCAACUCUUGGUCGACACAGAAGGAGAUCGGAGGCUGCCAAUUUCUGCCUUUACAAGUGCGUGACCUAUAGCCAACUCUGCCCGGUUUGCAUUUCUUAUCAAUCAAUGUGUCCUCAGCUGGGCAAAUUGGCCAAAACUCUCCAGUGUCGUCAUAUCCCGCUUUGCAAAAUGGUGCCCCCUCUUGGACAAAAAUAUAGGAAAUGAUUGGUUGAGACAAUUUGAAUUAAUACCACUAUAACCAAAGUACCCUGACAAUGUAAGAAUAUAUAAUAUAUACCAAAGUUCAAUACUACUGAAUAUACUACAAUCUAAUAUAAAAUAAUAACUUACGAUAAACCACUGGGAUAAUCACUUUUGCACUUUUAUUUUGCCCCACGAUGUUCUCAAAGGUGACAGAAACCUCUUGUGAGACAGGGUUUUCUUGGCAACUGAUGUCAACGGAGAAAGUGUAGACUAGGUCAUAUCCAUCAGCUGUAAAGAGAGUAGUAGUCAGGCAGAUGUUUGCUGUUGGUGAUUUUGCAUUUCGCAGAAAUAUUGAGAAUUUAUAUUUGCGUUGGUGUUAUGAAAUGAAGAAAGAUUACACGCUGCGGCUAAUGAACGGAAUGAAAGGCACAGAAAGAUUUGUUUGGUGCUGACUUACACGUGUUGUAUAGAUUACCCUUCCGUUUACCAUUGAAGCUCCACCAAACAUUGUAGCUUUCAGUGGAGUCUGAGAUGGUCGCAUUGACCCUCAUGGUAACCUUUUGGGUUGGUGUCUUUUCAGAACAGUCUGCAGAAAUAGGGUCGAUGUCCAGGUUGAUAUAGUCAGGCAGGAGCACGACUGUCAGUGAUGUCUUGGCUAUGUGCCUGACUGACCCGCUGGUGAAUGCACACUCAUAUAAGCCUGCAGGGCACAUGUAGGAAAAACAUUUUUUAUUUUAUUCUCAGGCUACUCUGUUCAGAUUAGACAUGACAUGAAACAAUUCUGUUAUAGCAAAAGAAGUUUUUCUGCAUACAAAUGUCCCCUGUGUCUAAUAUUACCAUCUAUAACAUUGUUUAGACAUUUAGCACUGAUCCAUAAAACAUAUGAGCAUUACAAGAGAUUAUGACAACAAGGCCCGACUCCAGUCCAGCACAAUCACUGUUGAGCCUGUUGGCUUUUUCAAAAAGGAGAGGGGCCUAACUAGCUUUGGACGUCUUUCUUUCUUGGGUCAAGUUAAUAACCAAACUACCAAAACACAUAACAAUUUAUGGAGCUCUCCAUUCACAGAUGUGUCCAAGCAAAGGAUAAAAUAGAGAUGUGGAACCAGUUCCAAUACCAUUGCGGUGACUGUCAGCAAACGGUUGCACCCCUUGGAAUUAAUGUAAGGUGCUCCAUGAAUAAAUGCAACAUCUCUAUUAUUGAUUAGAAUUUGCCCCAAAUACGAAGUAAAAACAAAGUAGUAUAUCACUGUACUCGCCUGACCAAAGGCCUGUCACAUUCUGGAGUUUAACUCCGACACAAGACUUGUAUUCCUCUGUGGCACAGUUGUCAAUCAUUUUCACCACGCUGCCUGUGUUGAGGCCAAGGCUCUCAUUCAAAGUCUUCUUGCUCCAGCCAGCGUUGUCCGACACCUCCUCAAAUUUGCAUUUCAGUUGCGGAGUCGACUCGUAGCACACUGUAGUCGUUGGGGCCUCUAUGGUGACCAUUCCUGUGUCAGAAAGGCCAUAGAAAUACACAGUCAUACAAUAAUCUGGAUUAGAGUAGAAGGUAAAGCCCUUCAACGGCUACCCAUUGGUUUGAGUCCCUACAGUCUUUUGUCUACCCAAUACUUUGCUUCUGGUUCAGUCUCCAGGAUGCAUACGGACAGUGGAUGAUUGAUUGAUGUUACUUAACUACUUUGACCAAUGAUAACUUAUCUUAUGGUCCUGGAAAACUAAGUUAGGAAGAAAUAAUGUGUAAAAUAUGUGAAGAAAUUAUACAACAAGAAUAAAGAUCCUCCUCUGACGUUCUCCCUAAGGUUUCUUCCCUUUUUUUCCUCUUGGAAGGGUUUUUUCAUUUUUUGGGGAGUUUUUCCUGUGCCGAUGGUGGGUUUCGGGGCAGAGGAUGUCGUAUGUGUACAGACUGUAAAGCCCUGUGAGGCAAAUUUGUAAUUUGCGAUUUUGGGCUAUACAAAAUAAAAUGAAUUGAAUUGAAUUGAAUUAAAGAGAAAUUUGGAUCGCUGAUGAUACCAAUGCUGAGUUAGUCUCAGAGCAUAUUAUCAAAAUUGUAAUGGAAAAAACUUAAACAUGCUAGCACACCAAAGAUUUUUGAUAUCACAAAAUAUUUGGCAGUGUCAGCAAUUUAAAAGCAGUGCUUAAGGUUUUGCAGUGGCAUAUUUUAGAUUCUGCUAUUGCGUUGCUAUUUAAGUGGUUUUCUCACACAGAUCUGGCAGCCCUGGUCAUGGGGCGUGGUGAACAUCCCACAUUCUAAGGACCACAUAAGACUCAUUAUCAUGAUCGGACAGUUGUUAAAAGGUCCCAUGUGUACAAUCCGGUCAGAAUUUUGAUUUACAGAAAAUGAACUUGCAUUCUCAGUAAAAUGUUUGUGGACUGUGAAAUGAACAUGCUAACUGGUCAGUCCUGUCUCUGCUUGGUUUGGAACACAGUGAGAGGUGACUGUAGGUCUCUGUAACGUCUGUUCUCAGAGUUAAUUUUCCGGCAGAUUUAUUUUUAACACUUAUUCCAAGUUAACUUGUUAACACUUCAUUGAGUUGUCGUAAACACCAGUUUAGUGUUAAAAUUGAAUCUAAAAUUUGCUGUGUGCCAUGGGCUGUAAAAGUGGACGUAGUAACCGUGUUGCCAGUAAUUUGUUUGGGGAUUGACGUUUGUAAGUCUCCAGUUUUGUCAUUUUGGCGGUUGCAGCGUUUUUUUUCUUACAUGAAAUACAACCGACUGCUUACAGAGAUAUCUAAGCAACCAAAAUGUUACACAUCAUUUCCACUGAAAUGACACUGUGGAAGAGAUAAAGCUGUAGGAUAAAAGACCUGACAACAUUGUGAUGGAGAGCUGCCAUCACAAUGUAUCCCGAUAGUGAUGUGUAGAAUAACUUUAACAUUCUCUCUACAUUGUUUAUUAUGCCAAUAAACAGAAAAAUGAUCAUUGUCAAUGUCUGAAACAGUCGCACAGGCACAGAAUCAACAUGAUGGAAUUGAAUAAAGAUUGACAGCUACAGUAUCUCUUCUACUGACCUUCAGUGUCAAUCUUAAGCACAGCUCCAAGAUUGAUUUCCAGAUAACGGACGAUGUCAUGAAGUCUAUCAGUUGGCAUUUUGACGGUGACCGCUGCCUCGAAGUCAGCAACUUUGUUGACCUCCCUUUAAGAUUUGGAUCAAUGAAAGAUUAGCGGUAAGUACGAGAAUGUCUUGUUUGUAUUUGGAUAAAAGUAUGAUGACAUUUGAAAGGAAAAUGUUCACAACUACAGUGUGACGCCUUUCAAAGUUUAUUUGGGAGUCCCAUAUGGUUGUAGCUUGGUUGUAGUUUUAAAGGAAUAAGCAGGCUGAUGAUGAUGUUAAUACUUCAGCCUGUGUUACCUCCUAACAAGGGUUACAGGCUUUGACGAAAAGUCUGUGAAAAAGAAGUUAGUGAACUUUUGGUCACAUUUUCUUUAGAAAAACUCUUCUAAUUUUAUGCAUGACAGAAAAUAAAAGUAAGUAUGGUGUACCGGGAGGCGGCAGGACACCUUAGCUAAAGGACACACCAGAGCAAGGGUGUAUUCUGCUGAUAAUAAGUCAAAGGUUUAUCAGCCACUGUAGUCAAAGAAGAGUUGGCUCGGGGUCAAAGGGCCCUGUGUUAUGGCACAUGCUCCAAAUCAAUGCUUACACUGUCUUUUCAAAGUAAAUUUGACAGAAAACAACUUGGUUAGAUUUGUUAUGUACGCUAAAUAGGCUUAUUAUGUAUGCUAACUUUUUGUAGGUAGCAUAAGUUUAUUUAAUACUUGACUUAAAUUGAGCUAUUUUACAUUGGCUUUUGGUGUCACCUCAACAUGAACUCUACUCACCCAAUAACUAAGCUGCCGAGAUGAUUACAUCUUCUUUCCUCCAAACCUUAGCUUAACACUUAAGAGUUGUAUUGUCCGGCCAAUCUAAUUUUAGGCUGAGACGAUUGAAGAAGCUGUUGCAUCAUCGUCCUCAAUGAAAGAAUAAGAUAAAUCAAACGGAAAGGAUGUUACUGUACCUCUGACCGGUUACAUUCAGGAAGUUGAAGCCAUUCAGACCUGCAAAGCUGGUUACAAGCUUUAAAAAGAAACAGGGUGGCAUCAUUUAUAUAUCAGGUAUUACAGUGAACAGUUGUGUUAGUUGUGUGUGAAUAUAGUUGUGUGUGAUCAGAAAUAGAGAUGUACCAUGGAGGUUUUUCCUGAAUCCCAGGUGCAAGUCGCCAAUAUCACUGAUCCAUUGAGGUGAACUGUGUUGAAUAUAAAUAUUUUCAGUUCAGAUAUGAUUAAGCAACACUUUUGGACGCUCAAACUUGUCUGGGAAUCCAGGAUAUUUACCAUGACUUUGGCAACACAGAGUGGCACGAUGUGGGACACAUUUUGAGGACAAGGAGCCUCCCGGCAACAGUUGAAUUGGUUGCACACCGGGUUGCUCCAAAUGUAGCCGGUACUGCAGCUGCAGGUGGAUUCAUUUCGAAUAAGCAGGCACUCUAGAAUGAGAAGCACAGUCGACUCAAACGACCCAGAGAACUUACUUUUGAAGUAUUUCUCUUCAACACUGAAUAAAUAUGAGAGAGAACAUGAAAAUACUCAAAGGAUUUGAUUAGUGGGAUUGAUUACACAUGAUGAUGAUUUCUUUCUGAAAAUCCCUCAAAUAUGGCAGCCCGAUUUAAAACUAUUAUGAAGAGCGAGGAAGUAAAGGAAGAGGUCAGGAAGAAAAGUGAUCAAAUCUCAAAGAAUGAAAUAGUCUUGAAACUACAGACUGAGACCAUAAACUCAUGUUUACAAAGUUCACCAGGAAUAAAUCAGGAGAGAAGUAAUUAGAGAGUAAUUAUCUCAUAGAGGAAAAGUCGCCCCCUGUUGGUCACUACAGAGAAUGCACUGGCAUUCUUUGAAGGAGGAGGAAUAACCAAUGACAGGAUUAGGGUUAAAGGACCAAUGACAGGAUUAGGGUUGAAGGACCAAUGACAGGAUUAGGGUUAAAGGACCAAUGACAGGAUUAGGGUUGAAGGACCAAUGACAGGAUUAGGGUUGAAGGACCAAUGACAGGAUUAGGGUUGAAGGACCAAUGACAGGAUUAGGUUUAAAGGACCAAUGACAGGAUUAGGAUUAAAGGAGCUCCAGCGUGAUACCUGCAACCAGUUCAUUGUGGGAGAGGAUCACUGUGGUCAAGUCAGACAGUUUGAUGUCAUGUGUUGAAUUCAAAAUGGAAAGGAUCUGGUCGGCCUCCAUAGUAACAUUACUCUCCACCAUCAGCUCGGCAAUGUAGAGAUCUUCGACUGAAACACAAGAUAUUGUAUGUCGGAUCCUUUUGUAUUUUUACUGGGCUGAGUUAGAUGGGAUGCGAUCGAUUGAGUUGGUCGACAGUAGGUUGAUUUUAAUACUUAAAAUAUACCUUCAGUAUUUUGUAAACUGAACUAUAUUUCCCCAUAACUUCUCUUGAAUUGUGUAGUAAAAUGCUUGUAACGGGCAGCAGUUUAACAGGCAGCGAGGGCAAUCUUGUGGCGUUAAUGUCAGUAAAAGUGUUUUUAUUCAGGUUGUGAUUAAAAGUGUCAAACGACGUCAUGCAAAUCCUACCUUAUUUAUUUAUUUAUGAUAUCGAACAUAUUCUGCAUUACUUUUCUGUUUUAUAAAAUCCUUCUUUACGAGAAUGAAGCAAACCUACUCACCCGCUGCAAGGACCUGCAAUGAGAAGAAUAGGCCAACGACAGAAUUAGCCUUAAUGCUAAGGGUGUAGUGCCCAUCAAAAAUAUAAAAUAUAUCUUUUUGUAGCUUUGUAAUGCUGAAUAGAUAAAGAUUAACACACAAAGAUGUUAUUCUUCAUUGUCAAUGAAUGCAGAAAGGAUAGAGUGUGGAAAAAGUAUGAAUGAAUUAGAAAUGCAAACAAGUAGCUGAGGAGUAUCUUUACCUGAAAGUAUAUAUGCACAGCUCCAAUCAGACACAUAAAUAUCUUGGAACACAUCGUUGUUCUAGUGUAAAAAAGAAUAAACAUUAGAAACAAUUAAGGAACCAACAGAUGACCAUGGGCCUACUCAUUCAUUGAAAUUGAUUUUGAUGUUUACAUUUCUCAGAGGAUGAUUAAUCAUUUUGGUGAUCGCCUGAUCUUUUGCUCAAAAAACCUUCUCUGAGUUGCAUCAACUGCAAGGCUGUAAAUAGCUUUUAUUUUUUAUCCAUCUCUAAAAACAACAUUUGCAUACUGCUAAUCCCAAAGUUUGGACAAACAUGGCCUAUAUACAUCAAAUAUGUUGAAGCUUGUGUUCCUCUCAUACGAGGUGCCAAUUUUUGCUUGCAAAACUUGUUUGCACCAGUGGAGUAGGUGGUUUUCAGGCUUCUGAUAACAGUGCACGGUGUGGUCAGAGGCCCGUCACUGUGGUCCAGGUUAUGCCCACUUCAUUUUCUUGUUGGGUUAGGACAUGUUAAUAAGUGUAUGCGUAGACAAAACAAGCUGGCACCCAAAGGCUUCUUUAUUAGGCAAACCUGUCCAGUCUCUGCAGUUCAAGAGGAGAAAGCUGCGCUACAAACAUUCAAAUUAUUUUAAAUGAGUACUGGACUACAUUUGAUUAUGUGUUCUCCCUGUUUACGUCAUACAUGACUGAAUAAUGUAAACAACACGCUAUAUAACGUAUCCCAGGACAACAAAACCAAUAACCACAAAAAAAAUGAUACGGCCCAAUAAAAGUAGAUCCUAUGACAGAAGUGUUUGCUCUACAGCGCUCCUAAUAAGGUGAUCACAUACAUGCAAUAACAGCCUGACCUGAUAUGAAAAUAAACUCUUUGAGAGUGUGUCAAUGGCAAGGACGGUCUGCAAACCCUCAACGCCUUUGAUAAAACGCUUUACCGAACGGAUAAAGAUAAAAACAUUUUACAGAAUCUCCAGCAACUCACAACUUGUCAAACAAGUUGCUCAACAAACUUAUCAUCCAUGUUGCUCACGCUACAUAGUGACUGAGUAGAUUGACGCCACAAACACUGACAGGGAAGAAGAAGAAAAGUCAUUUUCUCUUAAGACAAACUGCGCCUUGUGUUGUGAAAUGCAUUCACAACAUUUCUGUAUGAGAAAUGAAUUUAAAUAACUGAUCAUGAUGAUCAUCAGCUCUAAGUGAGAUAUUUGAGGUUGAGGGAUUUCCCUGUUAUAAUUAGUUCUUAAGCCUACAAUGUGUUUAUAUUGUUGUGUUCUCACACACACAACAAAGACUGAAAAUUGCAUCGCACAGUUUCUGAAAAAACGAAUGGGCAGGAAAUCAUCAGUCAGCACACAACCUCAAUGUCCGCAGAGGACACAGUUGAGAUGCUUCCAUUCAUGCAACUAGAGAGAAAUCUAUGGAGUCAAGCCUGGUGAUAUAAACAAUAUAGGUGGAGAAGAUGUCUGUUGAGAGCAUUUAGAGCAGUGAUUCUCAACUGGUGGGACCCGCUUUAAUGGGCCUUUGC
Gasterosteus aculeatus aculeatus (three-spined stickleback) is the source of this 8523-nucleotide long non-coding RNA. Lineage: Eukaryota; Metazoa; Chordata; Actinopteri; Perciformes; Gasterosteidae. The record is from Ensembl.